GGAUUAGAUACCCUGGUAGUCCACGCCGUAAACGAUGUCUACUAGUUGUCGGGACUCUUGCAGUCUUGGUAACGCAGCUAACGCGAUAAGUAGACCGCCUGGGGAGUACGGCCGCAAGGUUAAAACUCAAAUGAAUUGACGGGGGCCCGCACAAGCGGUGGAGCAUGUGGUUUAAUUCGAAGCAACGCGAAGAACCUUACCUGGCCUUGACAUCCUGCGAAUCCUCUAGAGAUAGGGGAGUGCCUUCGGGAACGCAGAGACAGGUGCUGCAUGGCUGUCGUCAGCUCGUGCCG
Molecule: ribosomal RNA, 293 nt
Filed under: uncultured bacterium
Lineage: Bacteria
Description: partial 16S ribosomal RNA
Rfam family: Bacterial small subunit ribosomal RNA
Source: RNAcentral